CAGCAGCCACGGUAAUACGAAGGGUGCAAGCGUUAAUCAGAAUUACUGGGCGUAAAGCGUGCGUAGGUGGUGGUUUAAGUCCGUUGUGAAAGCCCUGGGCUCAACCUGGGAAUUGCAGUGGAUACUGGAUCACUAGAGUGUGGUAGAGGAUAGUGGAAUUUCCGGUGUAGCAGUGAAAUGCGUAGAGAUCGGAAGGAACAUCUGUGGCGAAGGCGACUAUCUGGGCCAACACUGACACUGAGGCACGAAAGCGUGGGGAGCAAACAGGAUUAGAUACCCGCGUAGUCCCUGUCUCUUAUAC
RNAcentral lists this ribosomal RNA (301 nucleotides) under uncultured bacterium. Its description in RNAcentral is "partial 16S ribosomal RNA". It matches the Rfam family "Bacterial small subunit ribosomal RNA", at positions 509 to 807 of the family's 1533-position model. The record is from RNAcentral.